GGGGAUAACACUUGGAAACAGGUGCUAAUACCGUAUAACACUAUUUUCCGCAUGGAAGAAAGUUGAAAGGCGCUUUUGCGCCACUGAUGGAUGGACCCGCGGUGCAUUAGCUAGUUGGUGAGGUAACGGCUCACCAAGGCCACGAUGCAUAGCCGACCUGAGAGGGUGAUCGGCCACACUGGGACUGAGACACGGCCCAGACUCCUACGGGAGGCAGCAGUAGGGAAUCUUCGGCAAUGGACGAAAGUCUGACCGAGCAACGCCGCGUGAGUGAAGAAGGUUUUCGGAUCGUAAAACUCUGUUGUUAGAGAAGAACAAGGAUGAGAGUAAAACGUUCAUCCCUUGACGGUAUCUAACCAGAAAGCCACGGCUAACUACGUGCCAGCAGCCGCGGUAAUACGUAGGUGGCAAGCGUUGUCCGGAUUUAUUGGGCGUAAAGCGAGCGCAGGCGGUUUCUUAAGUCUGAUGUGAAAGCCCCCGGCUCAACCGGGGAGGGUCAUUGGAAACUGGGAGACUUGAGUGCAGAAGAGGAGAGUGGAAUUCCAUGUGUAGCGGUGAAAUGCGUAGAUAUAUGGAGGAACACCAGUGGCGAAGGCGGCUCUCUGGUCUGUAACUGACGCUGAGGCUCGAAAGCGUGGGGAGCGAACAGGAUUAGAUACCCUGGUAGUCCACGCCGUAAACGAUGAGUGAUGAGUGUUGGAGGGUUUCCGCCCUUCAGUGCUGCAG
This 726-nucleotide ribosomal RNA is filed under the name uncultured bacterium. RNAcentral's name for it is "bacterial SSU rRNA". It matches the Rfam family "Bacterial small subunit ribosomal RNA", at positions 139 to 851 of the family's 1533-position model. The record is from RNAcentral.